Long non-coding RNA from Rhineura floridana, 1421 nucleotides. RefSeq lists it as uncharacterized. The transcript is spliced from 2 exons. NCBI's taxonomy places the organism in Eukaryota, Metazoa, Chordata, Lepidosauria, Squamata, Rhineuridae. The record is from RefSeq and is a predicted model, not a curated record.
AGUCUGCAUGUGGUAAUUUGAAAAAUCACCACGUGUACCAGUCCCCUGAAGAAAGAGGUCUUUCCUUCACAUGUUGAUUAUCCCUGCAUGCUGUCCACAUGCAGCUGAUCAUGAGCAAUUAGGUUGCCUUCCCAGGGAGAGCAUGAAGCUUUGUUCUAGGAGCAGGAGCAGUUGCAGCAGCUGCCAUCAAUCAGGAAUCAGCUCAAAGAAAAGUCAGUUGCUGGAGCCACGGAGCAGAGUGGGAAAGAGGAAUAAGGGUGGGAGUGGUGGUCGGAUUCCCAAAUGCAUCUCAGGAGGGACAAUAAAAGUGUUAUCAAGGAACAUGCACCAACUUUACAAGCCAGAAGAGGAAUCAUAUGAGCUUUUCCCAAGCUCUUGCUAAGAAAUCUUAUACCAAGCUGAUUCUGACAAACUAAGGGGAAUUUGCUCAUCACUAAAAACAGACCAUCUUUUAAUUAACUAUAUGGCAUCCUGUAUAGUGUGGCUCUGGCCCCUAGAUGCCAUUUAUGUGCAAACAAUACAAAACUCAAACUAUCUGGGAGAGUCACUAGAUAAUUUGCUUUUUAGACUGUGUUCAUUUUUCGUAUACACACAGUCUGACUGCAAAUCUCUGGAGUUUUCUGUUGACUAAUGAAAACUCCCCCCUUCCUAGAAUUAAACUGAGAGCCUACAGUGGGUGGUUUGCACCUGGUAUAUUAGUACAGCAAUAUGGUAGCUUAUUAUGGUAUCAUUGUGUAUUGUGAUAUUUUGGGGAAGAGCAAGAUGGAUUGUUUACAUUACUUCUAUGGCUCCCUGUAGUACAAUGUGCAUCAACUGUUUUUGAAAGUUGCUGGGGAAAGUGUGGUGUUUUUUUUUCAUUUGUAGCUUAUUCUUACAAAAAGUGACCAAGACCACAUCUGAAUUUCAACCAGAAUUGAGAAAUGCUUUUAUGGGAGGCAGGUGAAAAAUUGAAGAUGUCUUUAUAUAAUAUUUGUGGACUUGCCAAACAACAACUAACAACCCUGAAAUCUGACAGAAGCAGCAGCAACAACAAAAUCAGCAGCUAUUAUUUAGAGCAGCUGUUCAUCACUCUAUCUGUCCCUUAUCUAAUGAGAUCCAACACAUCAGGAGAUGAAAGAAACUGUUUAAAUUACAGGGCAGCUAAUGAAUAUGAAUUCACACAAAUUCUUUUAUCAUUAGUAUGGUAUCCAUACUAAUGUUACCAGAAUUUAUUCCUAUAGAUAUGUAGGCUAAAACAGGCUUGUAAGUACCACUGUUGUUCCUGUGGUAUGUCUUUCCUUGAAGAUUUUCUCUAGUCAGGCUUAAAUAACAUUGUUAAAAACAGCUGUGAAUCUCCUGAAGCUGGAAGAAAUGUAAAGCCAUUGAGAGGUCUGAGUGACUUGGUUAUGAAAUGACUAAAGCUGUGUACACACAACAUUUGA